CCUACGGGAGGCAGCAGUGAGGAAUAUUGGUCAAUGGCCGGAAGGCUGAACCAGCCAAGCCGCGUGAAGGACGAAGGUGCCAAGCAUUGUAAACUUCUUUUGUCAAGGGACAAAAUCAGGCUCGAGAGCCUGACCGAGGGUACUUGAAGAAAAAGCAUCGGCUAACUCCGUGCCAGCAGCCGCGGUAAUACGGAGGAUGCGAGCGUUAUCCGGAUUUAUUGGGUUGAAGGGGUGCGUAGGCGGGCUGUUACGUCAGCGGUAAAAGCCCGGGGCUCAACCCCGGCGAGCCGUUGAAACUGGCUGGCUGGAGAUGUCGAGAGGUAUGAGGAAGGCGCAGUGUAGCGGUGAAAUGCUUAGAUAUUGCGCAGAACUCCGAUUGCGAAGGCAGCAUACCGGCGGCGAUCGGACGCUGAGGCACGAAAGCGUGGGUAUCGAACAGGAUUAGAUACCCUUGUAGUC
This 459-nucleotide ribosomal RNA is filed under the name uncultured bacterium. RNAcentral's name for it is "partial 16S ribosomal RNA". It matches the Rfam family "Bacterial small subunit ribosomal RNA", at positions 338 to 795 of the family's 1533-position model. The record is from RNAcentral.